Oncorhynchus tshawytscha (Chinook salmon) is the source of this 1615-nucleotide long non-coding RNA. The record is from Ensembl. Lineage: Eukaryota; Metazoa; Chordata; Actinopteri; Salmoniformes; Salmonidae.
AUGUAGGGGAGGGAGAGUGAGAGAGAUUGAGAUAGAGAGAGAGAGCGGUAAGUGAUAUCCCUGUUCCAGUGUGCUUUCACCCCUCCCCUCUCCCCUAGGUAGAUAUCUAUCACCACUUUACACCCUCCUGUGUGUGUGUGUCUGUGUGUGUCUGUGUGUGUGUGCAUGCGUGUGUGUGCGUGUGUGUGUGUGUCUUUGUGUGUGUGUGUGUGUGUGUUUGCGUGCGUGCGUGUGUGUGCGUGUGUCUGUGUGUGUGUGUGUGUGCGUGCGUGCGUGUGUGUCUGUGUGUGUGCGUGCGUGCGUGUGUGUGUGUCUGUGUGUGUGCACCUGUAUGCGUGGUAAAUCAACAAGUUCAUCAACAAGUAAAUUAAUCAAACAGUCCUUCAACUAAUUAAUUAGUCACAAAAUCUAUGAAGUGAUCAGCCAGUCAUUAAUAAACCAUUAAAACAGACAGAGGAAACUAACUUGUUAACAGACUAUGUUUGGAAUAUUUAUUUUGCACACAGAAUAGAAUACAGUAGGUUGACUUUUGUACUAUGGGAGACAGUAGAUUGAUAUAGGCUAGUGUUUUUUUCUGUUCGUUACUCAACCUGUUGGCUGACGAAAAGUAAAUGUGGACAGUUCUUCCAAUAUCUUCAAUGUGCACCUCUGAAUUGGAUAAGGACGCGUGCAGUUGUGUCCCCAAUGUGUCUGUCUUCACUUGUAGCCUCCGAGAAAGACCCACACUUACAGUGCUAUGGCAAGAAUAACCAAGUCAACAUCAAGCUUUGUAGUGCUAGGACAAGAAACUAAAUAUGCACUAAGGGCGAGCCCCAGGACCAAGUUUGGAAAACCCUGGGUUAAACAGACACAGACAGACAGACAAACAGACAGACAGACAGACAGACAGACAGACAGACAGACAGACAGACAGACAGACAGACAGACAGACACAGACAGACAGACAGACAGACAGACAGAUCAGACAGACAGGUCUAUAAACCCUGGCUCAGUGGAUUACAUUACUCCUGAUAAUAAUGGAUCAGACUGGCAGAGCUGUUAUUCAACUGAACACAACACCAUUACACACACACACAUAAAGAGGCAGCGCUGCUAGCCAGCUGAACACAGCACCAUUACACACACACACAUAAAGAGGCAGCGCUGCUAGCCAGCUGAACACAGCACCAUUACACACACACACAUAAAGAGGCAGCGCUGCUAGCCAGCUGAACACAGCACCAUUACACACACACACACACAUAAAGAGGCAGCGCUGCUAGCCAGCUGAACACAGCACCAUUACACACACACACAUAAAGAGGCAGCGCUGCUAGCCAGCUGAACACAGCACCAUUACACACACACACACACACAUAAAGAGGCAGCGCUGCUAGCCAGCUGAACACAGCACUACGCACUAAGUCAGCAAACUGAAGACAUGUGCUCUGCUUAGUAAACUACAUUGACAUACUGCCAAGGCAGAGGCCAGUACUGCCUGUACACACACAUAUAAUAACACACACACACACUCAUAAACACACUACUAUAUCAAAGAGAGGGAUGGACGGGACGAGAGGCGUCCAAUUAUACGCUUCAGAGGAAAGAGAUAGAGAGAGAGAGAGAGAGAGAGACA